Molecule: long non-coding RNA, 200 nt
Filed under: Theobroma cacao (cacao)
Lineage: Eukaryota; Viridiplantae; Streptophyta; Magnoliopsida; Malvales; Malvaceae
Description: long non-coding RNA (TCAC_LNC006314)
Source: RNAcentral
CUUUUUCUGCAUGACAUGGCAAUUUAUCGCAACCUAGCCUCUCAAGGCUAAAUACAUAGUACAAAUAAUUCUAACACCAAAAUUAGUUUAGCCAUUCAUGCUCAUUUAUUGUCAUAAGCCAUUCAAUUUAAAACCAUAAAUUUAUAACACAAGCAGGCAGUCUCCAAUUACUCUAUUUUCAAAACCAGUAUUCGAUUUUC